UUAGGCUACUGGACGGUCGCUCGCUCUUUAUGUGGGCUAGAGGAAAGUCCGGGCAGCAUAGGACACGACAGUCGUUAACGGCGACCGGAGGAGACUCUAGGGAAAGUGCCACAGAAACUAUACCGCUACCUCAAGCUUAUACAAAAUACAGUGACUGGUAGUAAGGGUGAAAAGAGUAGUGUAAGAGACUACAAUCAGCUAUGGUGACAUAGCAGAGAUGGUAAACCCUGUCGGCUGCAAGGCGUAUUAUCAACAAGAGUUGUCCGCUUGAUGAUACUAAAAUCCGCUUGAACUGUAUAGCAAUAUUCAGUCUAGAUAGAUGAUCGUUCACGACAAAACCCGGCUUAUAGGUAGCCUAUAUUA
RNAcentral lists this RNase P RNA (363 nucleotides) under Candidatus Nanogingivalaceae bacterium. RNAcentral describes it as "RNase P RNA component class A". It matches the Rfam family "Bacterial RNase P class A". From Rfam's summary of the family: Ribonuclease P (RNase P) is a ubiquitous endoribonuclease, found in archaea, bacteria and eukarya as well as chloroplasts and mitochondria. Its best characterised activity is the generation of mature 5'-ends of tRNAs by cleaving the 5'-leader elements of precursor-tRNAs. Cellular RNase Ps are ribonucleoproteins. Lineage: Bacteria; Candidatus Saccharimonadota; Candidatus Nanosyncoccalia; Candidatus Nanogingivales; Candidatus Nanogingivalaceae. The record is from RNAcentral.